This 493-nucleotide long non-coding RNA is filed under the name Populus tremula. RNAcentral's name for it is "long non-coding RNA (PTRE_LNC002478)". Lineage: Eukaryota; Viridiplantae; Streptophyta; Magnoliopsida; Malpighiales; Salicaceae. The record is from RNAcentral.
CUGGCCCUGGGUGUACCCCAACAAUUACGGGCUUGCCCUUGUGCCCUGUGCUCACAGAUACUCCGCCUUUGCCGACACCAACAUCGGUUCUCUUCCCUGGUUUUCCAGUGUCAACACCAACACCUUUGCCCCCGACGCUGACAUGGGUGGCGCCGCUGCCUGGCUUUCCUUUCCCUGCAUCAACAUUCACACCACCCUUUCCUACAUUUACAUUGGUUCCUCCAGGCUUUCCUUUCCCUGCAUCAACAUCCACACCACCCUUUCCUACAUUAACAGCAGUGCCCCCUGGCUUCCCUUUUCCUGCAUCAACAUUUACACCACCCUUCCCUACGGCAACAGAAGUGCUUUUGUCUUCCACCAAGUCUGCAAUUUUAGUGACAUCAAUUAGAAGUGUUUUUCUUUACCUUAGACACAGCCAAAAAAGCUAGCAGAAGUUUCAUUCAAGUUAUUAAAGAGUUUUUUAGAGAGUAGUUCGGUUCUUAAAUUCUCACCU